This 500-nucleotide ribosomal RNA is filed under the name uncultured bacterium. RNAcentral's name for it is "partial 16S ribosomal RNA". It matches the Rfam family "Bacterial small subunit ribosomal RNA", at positions 30 to 523 of the family's 1533-position model. The record is from RNAcentral.
AUUGAACGCUGGCGGCAUGCCUUACACAUGCAAGUCGAACGGCAGCACGGGAGCAAUCCUGGUGGCGAGUGGCGAACGGGUGAGUAAUAUAUCGGAACGUGCCCAGUCGUGGGGGAUAACGCAGCGAAAGCUGUGCUAAUACCGCAUACGAUCUAAGGAUGAAAGCGGGGGAUCGCAGGACCUCGCGCGAUUGGAGCGGCCGAUAUCAGAUUAGCUAGUUGGUGGGGUAAAGGCCCACCAAGGCGACGAUCUGUAGCUGGUCUGAGAGGACGACCAGCCACACUGGAAAUGAGACACGGUCCAGACUCCUACGGGAGGCAGCAGUGGGGAAUUUUGGACAAUGGGCGCAAGCCUGAUCCAGCAAUGCCGCGUGCAGGAUGAAGGCCUUCGGGUUGUAAACUGCUUUUGUACGGAACGAAACGGCCCUUUCUAAUACAGGGGGCUAAUGACGGUACCGUAAGAAUAAGCACCGGCUAACUACGUGCCAGCAGCCGCCGUAA